RNAcentral lists this ribosomal RNA (478 nucleotides) under uncultured bacterium. RNAcentral describes it as "bacterial SSU rRNA". It matches the Rfam family "Bacterial small subunit ribosomal RNA", at positions 29 to 530 of the family's 1533-position model. The record is from RNAcentral.
AACGAACGCUGGCGGCAGGCUUAACACAUGCAAGUCGAGCGCCCCGCAAGGGGAGCGGCAGACGGGUGAGUAACGCGUGGGAACAUACCCUUUGGUUCGGAAUAACUCAGGGAAACUUGAGCUAAUACCGGAUACGUCCGUAAGGAGGAAGAUUUAUCGCCAAAGGAUUGGCCCGCGUCCGAUUAGCUAGUUGGUGAGGUAACGGCUCACCAAGGCUACGAUCGGUAGCUGGUCUGAGAGGAUGAUCAGCCACAUUGGGACUGAGACACGGCCCAAACUCCUACGGGAGGCAGCAGUGGGGAAUAUUGGACAAUGGGCGAAAGCCUGAUCCAGCCAUGCCGCGUGUGUGAAGAAGGUCUUCGGAUUGUAAAGCACUUUAAGUUGGGAGGAAGGGUAGUAACCUAAUACGUUGCUACUUUGACGUUACGACAGAAUAAGCACCGGCUAACUUCGUGCCAGCAGCCGCGGUAAAGUGACU